RNAcentral lists this unclassified non-coding RNA (336 nucleotides) under soil metagenome. RNAcentral's name for it is "partial contains 5.8S ribosomal RNA, internal transcribed spacer 2, and large subunit ribosomal RNA". The stretch from base 1 to 120 matches the Rfam family "5.8S ribosomal RNA", at positions 35 to 154 of the family's 154-position model. The record is from RNAcentral.
GAUGAAGAACGCAGCGAAAUGCGAUAAGUAAUGUGAAUUGCAGAAUUCAGUGAAUCAUCGAAUCUUUGAACGCACAUUGCGCCCGCCAGUAUUCUGGCGGGCAUGCCUGUUCGAGCGUCAUUUCAACCAUCAAGCCCCCGGCUUGUGUUGGGGACCUGCGGCUGCCGCAGGCCCUGAAAAGCAGUGGCGGGCUCGCUGUCACACCGAGCGUAGUAGCAUACAUCUCGCUCUGGGCGUGCUGCGGGUUCCGGCCGUUAAACCACCUUCAUAACCCAAGGUUGACCUCGGAUCAGGUAGGAAGACCCGCUGAACUUAAGCACAUCAAUAAGCGGAGGA